CGCAGCGAAAUGCGAUAAGUAGUGUGAAUUGCAGAAUUCAGUGAAUCAUCGAAUCUUUGAACGCACAUUGCGCCUUCUGGUAUUCCGGGAGGCAUGCCUGUCCGAGCGUCAUGAAGCAAACUCCUCAAGCAUUUUGUUGCUUGGUCUUGGGGGAACAGAUGCACCAGUGCCCUGUCCCCUGCAAUCCAUAGGCGGAAACCACUGCGACAUCAGGUGUGAUACAGAUAACCUUUUCGCUUGAUGCCUCGUAGAUGCUGGUUCUGGCCUUUCCAACCCAGCCCCCCAGCUAUAUACACAUUCAGUUGACCUCAGAUCAGGUAGG
This 322-nucleotide ribosomal RNA is filed under the name Donadinia seaveri. Its description in RNAcentral is "eukaryotic LSU rRNA". The stretch from base 1 to 111 matches the Rfam family "5.8S ribosomal RNA", at positions 44 to 154 of the family's 154-position model. Lineage: Eukaryota; Fungi; Ascomycota; Pezizomycetes; Pezizales; Sarcosomataceae. The record is from RNAcentral.